This 180-nucleotide ribosomal RNA is filed under the name uncultured bacterium. RNAcentral's name for it is "partial 16S ribosomal RNA". It matches the Rfam family "Bacterial small subunit ribosomal RNA", at positions 1321 to 1500 of the family's 1533-position model. The record is from RNAcentral.
CGAAGCCGGAAUCGCUAGUAAUCGCAGAUCAGAAUGCUGCGGUGAAUACGUUCCCGGGUCUUGUACACACCGCCCGUCACACCAUGGGAGUCGGAAAUGCCCGAAGUCAGUGGCCCAACCGCAAGGAGGGAGCUGCCGAAGGCAGGUCCGGUGACUGGGGUGAAGUCGUAACAAGGUAGC